GACGAACGCUGGCGGCGUGCUUAACACAUGCAAGUCGAACGGAAAGGCCCUGCUUGCAGGGUACUCGAGUGGCGAACGGGUGAGUAACUCGUGGGUGAUCUGCCCUGCACUUUGGGAUAAGCUUCUGAAACUGGGUCUAAUACCGGACAGGAGCCAUCAUCAGUGCGGUGGGUGGCAAGCUUUUUCGGUGUAGGAUGAGCGCGCGGCCUAUCAGCUUGUUGGUGGGGUAAUGGCCUACCAAGGCGGCGACGGGUAGCCGGCCUGUGAGGGUGUACGGCCACAUAGGGACUGAGAGACGGCCCAGACUGCUACGGGAGGCAGCAGUGGGGAAUAUUGCACAAGGGGCGCAAGACUGAUGCAGCGACGCCGGGUGGGUGAUGAAGGCCGGCGGGUUGUAAGCGCCUUUCGCUAGGGACGAAGCAUUUUGUGACGGUACCUAGAUAAGAAGCACCGGCUAACUACGUG
RNAcentral lists this ribosomal RNA (465 nucleotides) under uncultured bacterium. Its description in RNAcentral is "partial 16S ribosomal RNA". It matches the Rfam family "Bacterial small subunit ribosomal RNA", at positions 28 to 507 of the family's 1533-position model. The record is from RNAcentral.